Long non-coding RNA from Homo sapiens (human), 1197 nucleotides. Ensembl annotates it as androgen receptor regulated long noncoding RNA 1. Its record names the gene ARLNC1. The record is from Ensembl. Lineage: Eukaryota; Metazoa; Chordata; Mammalia; Primates; Hominidae.
CUGCACUCCAGUCUGGUGACAGAGUGAGACUCCGUCUCAAAAAAAAAAAAAAAAAAAAAGGUGCAUAUCACUACCUGUAUUGGCUUGUUUAAUGGCUUACUUAGUGUCUUAGUCCGUUGUGUUGCUAUAAAGGAACACCUGAGGUUGGGUAAUUUAUAAAGAAAAGAAGUUUAUUUGGCUCAUGGUUCUGCAGGCUGUACGUGAAGCAUGGCCAGCAUUUGCUUCUGGGUGAUGGAUCUCUGCAGUAAGUGGAAGAGUUCUUCAUGGCCCCCAAGGUUAUAUCCAUCUAGAACUUCAGCACGUAAUUUCAUCUGGAAAUAGUGCCUUUGCGGAUAUAAGUUAGGUAAAACUGAAGAUGAGAUCAUACUGGAUUAGGAUGGGAUCUAAAUCCAAUGAAAAUGUCUUCAUAAAAAACAGGAAAGAACCCAUAGAAACACAAGGAAGAAGGUCAUGUGAAGAUGGAGGCAGAGAUUGGAGGGAUGCAGCCACCGGCCCAGGAAUGCCAGCAGCCACCCAGAAGCUGGAAGGAAAUGAGGGAUUCUCUCCUAGAACCUUUAGAGAGAACAUGGUCCUGUGAACAGCUUGAUUUUGGACUUGCCCAUAGCUUGUAUACUCUUACUUUGGAUACAAUUUUAUCCAAACUUGGCUAAACAGUUUCUCAGCCUAUGGAAAAUUUAAAAUGGAGAAGAUUCAACUCGAUUCUUACAGAUUCAAAGCAAGAAAAUGAUGGGAACAUAGGAGGAGACCAAGAAAGCCUAUAAAAAGCAAAAAUAUGAAGUGAACAUUGUGGUAGCUUUAAGAUGUUUAGUGUAGCUGCAGGCACCCUAUACACAUGAAAACCCCCAAGGGGAAUCCCCAUAUCACAGUGUAGUGUGAUAUUUGACAUUCGUGAUCAUCUAGAGAUGUACAGAAAAGGUGAAUCUGUGUUCUGUAUAUUCUGCCUAAGGCAAAGAAAUGUUUAGCUCUCUUUAAAAUAGUUCCAUAAUUUUUUCUAAAAAGCUUUGCUUGAAAACUGUAAGCUUCCCAUAUCUGGAGCAUUUCACUUUAAAUAUUUGGAUAAAUAUGUUAUCUUCUUACUUGGACAUUUCAUGUGUUUAGGGAUUGUCUUCUAAAUUCUUCCUAAUUCAUAUAGCUGCUAACACUUCCCGCAGAGCUAAACCAUUACAGAUAUGAAAUAAAGACCUAUUGAUUUGACUU